Molecule: long non-coding RNA, 517 nt
Filed under: Rhinopithecus bieti (black snub-nosed monkey)
Lineage: Eukaryota; Metazoa; Chordata; Mammalia; Primates; Cercopithecidae
Description: lncRNA (ENSRBIG00000046702.1)
Source: RNAcentral
UCUAGAGACCUUUGUAAGACAUAUUAAGGGACUGUAAUAAGAUGUUGCCAGGAUUAGCCCAUUUCUCCCCUUUGUUCUUAUUGUUAUUGUAAAGGCGAAUUGGGUAUUCUACAGAACAGGAAAUGAGAACUUGAGGAGAUAACUUUUUGGAAUUAUUUUUUGAAAGUGAAUCACUGUUGGAAUUCUGUGACAUUUGCUCCUCUACCCAAUGGAGAAAGGAAUGUACCACAAGGAAAGGCCUUGGAAGAUUAUGGGAAAAGAAGAGGACACAGAAUUUGUAAAUGUCUGGGAGUUGGAAAAAGCCUAGUAUAUUUUAAGAAGGGAAAGAAGGUCAAGACAAUAUGAUUCAGAUUCUUGUGAUUUUCAUCAAUUAAAGAUUACAGAUGUGAAUUCUGAGGAACUCCAUAUAACUCUAACUUUUCUUCUACCAGUUUUUAUUGUUUUUUUCUUCCUUUUGUAUAGUUUAUAGAAUACUAACCUAUAGAAAACUUUGUGUGAUAUGACUUUAUCUGAGGCA